Molecule: long non-coding RNA, 1263 nt
Filed under: Olea europaea subsp. europaea
Lineage: Eukaryota; Viridiplantae; Streptophyta; Magnoliopsida; Lamiales; Oleaceae
Source: RNAcentral
GAUUUUUGCUAUGAAUUUCAUUGCAUUUCUGAGCUCUUCUGCUCAUCUUUUUCCCAGGGCGAUCAAAGGUCAAUAAAUUGUUAAAUGGGGUCAGUAGGUUAAGUAUUGUUGCCAAAAUCUCAGUCGUCCAAUGCUUUUUAAACUCAAUCGUACACCUCACUUUGCCAACCCUUUUGUCAAGCUACUUGAUACAAGUAGCAUUAUUGCUUAAACAAUGUGGGGUGAAAAAAGGGGCUUACUUCUCGUUUGGCCUUUAUUCUCUUUUAUUUAUUGUUAUUUCUUACUUUCAAUCAUACAAUCUUUAAUAAAAUAAUAUUACACAUAAAUUAAAAAAAAUUUAUUAUUUUUUAACAAUACAUUUUUCAAAAAAAUACUAUUUCAUACAUUAAAAUUCGGAGAAAAUGGCCAAACGGGGGGCUAAACUUUCCUCAAUAAUUGUACGAGCAGCUUGUUCAACAAACCAACUUUACGCUUAUCCAAGAAGCUAGACCUCUAGUGCCCUGUAAAAACACUCCGUCCCCAAUGAACUUUUCACUUUCUUCACAAAAAAGCUCUCAUUAGUGGCAGGCAAAGCAAAAGCAAAAGCUCCCAUCGUCGGCCACUGUGGACUGAUGAAGAUCUUCUUCCCGGAUUCUGGUGGGGUGAGUUCAAACAACGGAGGAUGGUUCACCCAGAAGAAGAAGGCCGGAGACUUUUACGAUAAAAGCAGCGGAAACCAUGUGUUCAAAGAAGUAGUGAAGUAUGAAUCCCGCGUCAAAUUUUAGGUUACAGCACUGAGUACCAGACCCAAGUCAAGUUUAAGAAAGUCACUACCUAUGCCAACAAAGGGACUUCAAAAUCAAGCUAUCUGGUGCUGCUUCUUUGCCUGAUUUUAAUUGCUUAUAUGAUCGUUUUUCUGUCAACUGGGACCCAUCCAUGAAAGGGUUGGUCAAAAACUGCGACUGGCAACGGUAUGUUUAUAAAUAAUAUGUUUACUUCUCGUGUUCUAGCCUAAAUGAAAACUCAUUGCUAUCUGAGUUUUCUGUAAGUUAAGUUUUCUUGUUGCAAGUUCUAAUCUAGAUGAAAACUCAUUCAUGUUUUAAGUUUUUUAUGUAGAUAUAUGUUGGUUUGAACUCAUGUUUAUGAAUAUUUUCUGAGUUGCUGAAUUUUUUCAUGUUUUACAAAUUAAAAUCGAUAGAACGGCAACCUCCGUUUUUGUAGUGUAUUUGAAAUACUGUACUUGAUGUCGAGCGAAUUGCAAGUGAAAGAUUAGAAGAUCUAAAG